Ornithorhynchus anatinus (platypus) is the source of this 549-nucleotide long non-coding RNA. RefSeq lists it as uncharacterized. The record is from RefSeq and is a predicted model, not a curated record. NCBI's taxonomy places the organism in Eukaryota, Metazoa, Chordata, Mammalia, Monotremata, Ornithorhynchidae. The transcript is spliced from 3 exons.
UUUGGAUGGAGAGGAAAAGGUAGAUUUUAACACUGUUGUGAAGGAAUAGAGAAGACCCGCCGCCACCACCAUUGCCUCUGAUGCUAUAGCUGAACCAUACCUGCCACCACGAACAGGGAGGAGGAGUCUUUUCCAUAAAUCCCAUGGCAGGCCUGUCUCUUCUGUCUGCUCCAUCUUCAGGUUAAUCAACGCUUAUGUAAUUGAAAAUCACCUGGAAAAAAACAACAAAAAAUCUGGCAAGAGGUGAGAAUGAAUCAGCCCCCACCAGUUAUCUGAUAAAAAGAAAACACCAUUGACAUGGGAUUUUCAUGCAAGUUGUACCUGUAAUGAGCAUUGAAAAACUGCAAACACUGUGGCAUAGUCUACUUUGCUAUGACUUGCCACAACAAGUGUAUUCAUUUGGAUUAUCUAGUUUUUCUUUUUUACCCAAAUUUGAAAUUUUUCCAAGUCACAUUAUGUAGAGGAAACAGAUAAUGUUUCGGGUGGAUUAAAGACUGAAAGGCACACAAUGUUUUAGAAGACAUAUGGUGGGAAAAGACAGAUCCAUUA